Non-coding RNA from Petromyzon marinus (sea lamprey), 1223 nucleotides. Lineage: Eukaryota; Metazoa; Chordata; Hyperoartia; Petromyzontiformes; Petromyzontidae. The record is from RefSeq and is a predicted model, not a curated record.
AGUCGCUGUGUGUGUGUUAAUCCAUGUGUGUGUAUCUAAAGUAGAUGUCUGUGUGACACAGUUCAUAUGUAUAUGUGUGUGUAGGGCAAUGUGUGUGUCAGUCUAUGUGUGUGUGUGUAAGUCCAUGUGUGUGUGUCUUAGUUGAUAUGUGUGUGUGUAAGUACAUAUGUAUGUUUACGUCAAUCUGUUCUUGAGUCCACGUAUAUCUGUGUGUGAGUCGAUGUGUGUGUUUGUGUCGCUGUAUGUGUCUACGUCCAUAGAUGUGUGUAACUCCAUGUGUGUGUAUCUAAAGUGGAUGUCUAUGCGUGUGUGAGUCCAUAUGUGUGUGUGUGCAAGUCCAUGUGUUUGUGUGUGCAAGUCGAUAUGUCUGUGUGUGUCAGUCCAUGGACAUGUGUGUUAGUCGUUUGUGUCCGUGGCUCCAUGUGAGUCCGUGUAAGUCCAUUUCUUCGCGUGUCUGUAGGUCCAUGUGUGCGUGUGAGUGAAUGUGUGUGCUUUAUUGACCUGGUCAAGGCCUAUGAUACCAUCAGUAGGCCUGGCCUCUGGGUUGUUCUUCAUACUUUCGGAGUCCCUCAGCCUUUGCUCAAGAUCUUUAAGGACCUUCAUGAUGAUGGCCAAGGCUGAAGAGAAGGUGGGCUCCAGGAGCGGCGUGCAAUGGAGUGCGCUGCCCACAUCGGACAGCAUUGCCAUCGCCAGUAGUAAAACCCCACGAGGUGAUAGAUAUGAUUAGAGAAGUCAUGGUGGGGGACGUCAUGGUGGCCAUAGUUGAAAACAAAAACAAGCAUGUGAAUGGUUAUGGAAUAAAAAUGUUGUGAGGCAGAGUGGCACAGCAGGAACACUCCUCGUGCAUUUCUCUUUGGAGUCGGGAUGAUCUCCCCCUGCUCUGCAUGGGAUUCCUCCAGGCUCUCCAGUUUCCUCCACACAGCGAAAGAAAAUUAUUAACACAUCCCAAUGCUAAAAAAUAGUGUUGGUGAUUAUAUGCAGUCCAGGCACUCAGUGGAGCUUUCUUGGGUAAACAAGCAUCGUAUAUUUUAUUAUCAUUUCAGCAGGAAUGGCCAAAUAAGCAGCCAGGUUAUGUUUCAUGGGUGUCCUGCGAUCGUUUGGAUGUUAAACAAGUCUUCAUGUCAAAAGCGCGGUUACAUAGGUGGUGAUACCAAAUUUGUCAUUAGUCUGUUCUUCACAUGUUACAGGAAUACGGAAUUGGUUAAAAAUCCAAUGGAAAAAAA